Molecule: transfer RNA, 67 nt
Filed under: Marmota monax (woodchuck)
Lineage: Eukaryota; Metazoa; Chordata; Mammalia; Rodentia; Sciuridae
Description: tRNA.Ala
Rfam family: tRNA
About the family: Transfer RNA (tRNA) molecules are approximately 80 nucleotides in length. Their secondary structure includes four short double-helical elements and three loops (D, anti-codon, and T loops).
Source: RNAcentral
GGUUAUAGCUCAGUGGUAGAGCACUUGCCUAGCAUGUGUGAAGCACUGGGUUCGAUUCUCAGCACCA